This is a non-coding RNA of Paramuricea clavata, 357 nucleotides long. The record is from the annotation of a GenBank genome assembly. NCBI's taxonomy places the organism in Eukaryota, Metazoa, Cnidaria, Anthozoa, Malacalcyonacea, Plexauridae.
CUAUUCCAAAUACGCUUUUAAACUAUACAAAUGAUGAAAGUUAUUGUUGUUUUUAAGCGUUUAUUAGCAAGUGGGAACGACCAACAUGGCCGCCAUCUAUUCAAAUGGGGGUAACCGCUGGAAUAUUGUUGGCUUCAAUUUUACUAAAAGAGAUGCGCUAUCUAGUGUAUAUAAGAUAUCUAUGGUUGUUACAUGUGUUGGAGACUGUUAUUGUUAUUGUUGUUAUAGACACAGAAUUUUCCAGAACAUUCUGUAAAUAUUCAAUAUAAAUAUAAUAUCUCAGUCAAACAAUGACAACAGGGGCCCCCACACCAAAUAUGCCUAAGGGUCCCCUCUUCCUCCGUUACGCCACUGCCU